CCUGCACGAAUGGCGUAAUGAUGGCCAGGCUGUCUCCACCCGAGACUCAGUGAAAUUGAACUCGCUGUGAAGAUGCAGUGUACCCGCGGCAAGACGGAAAGACCCCGUGAACCUUUACUAUAGCUUGACACUGAACAUUGAGCCUUGAUGUGUAGGAUAGGUGGGAGGCUUUGAAGUGUGGACGCCAGUCUGCAUGGAGCCGACCUUGAAAUACCACCCUUUAAUGUUUGAUGUUCUAACGUUGACCCGUAAUCCGGGUUGCGGACAGUGUCUGGUGGGUAGUUUGACUGGGGCGGUCUCCUCCUAAAGAGUAACGGAGGAGCACGAAGGUUGGCUAAUCCUGGUCGGACAUCAGGAGGUUAGUGCAAUGGCAUAAGCCAGCUUGACUGCGAGCGUGACGGCGCGAGCAGGUGCGAAAGCAGGUCAUAGUGAUCCGGUGGUUCUGAAUGGAAGGGCCAUCGCUCAACGGAUAAAAGGUACUCCGGGGAUAACAGGCUGAUACCGCCCAAGAGUUCAUAUCGACGGCGGUGUUUGGCACCUCGAUGUCGGCUCAUCACAUCCUGGGGCUGAAGUAGGUCCCAAGGGUAUGGCUGUUCGCCAUUUAAAGUGGUACGCGAGCUGGGUUUAGAACGUCGUGAGACAGUUCGGUCCCUAUCUGCCGUGGGCGCUGGAGAACUGAGGGGGGCUGCUCCUAGUACGAGAGGACCGGAGUGGACGCAUCACUGGUGUUCGGGUUGUCAUGCCAAUGGCACUGCCCGGUAGCUAAAUGCGGAAGAGAUAAGUGCUGAAAGCAUCUAAGCACGAAACUUGCCCCGAGAUGAGUUCUCCCUGACUCCUUGAGAGUCCUGAAGGAACGUUGAAGACGACGACGUUGAUAGGCCGGGUGUGUAAGCGCAGCGAUGCGUUGAGCUAACCGGUACUAAUGAACCGUGAGG
RNAcentral lists this ribosomal RNA (935 nucleotides) under Escherichia coli. RNAcentral describes it as "partial 23S ribosomal RNA". It matches the Rfam family "Bacterial large subunit ribosomal RNA", at positions 1987 to 2916 of the family's 2925-position model. The record is from RNAcentral. Lineage: Bacteria; Pseudomonadati; Pseudomonadota; Gammaproteobacteria; Enterobacterales; Enterobacteriaceae.